Molecule: ribosomal RNA, 857 nt
Filed under: Aspergillus sp. 57
Lineage: Eukaryota; Fungi; Ascomycota; Eurotiomycetes; Eurotiales; Aspergillaceae
Description: eukaryotic LSU rRNA
Rfam family: Eukaryotic large subunit ribosomal RNA
Source: RNAcentral
CAACCGGGAUUGCCUCAGUAACGGCGAGUGAAGCGGCAAGAGCUCAAAUUUGAAAGCUGGCUCCUUCGGAGUCCGCAUUGUAAUUUGCAGAGGAUGCUUUGGGUGCGGCCCCCGUCUAAGUGCCCUGGAACGGGCCGUCAGAGAGGGUGAGAAUCCCGUCUUGGGCGGGGUGUCCGUGCCCGUGUAAAGCUCCUUCGACGAGUCGAGUUGUUUGGGAAUGCAGCUCUAAAUGGGUGGUAAAUUUCAUCUAAAGCUAAAUACUGGCCGGAGACCGAUAGCGCACAAGUAGAGUGAUCGAAAGAUGAAAAGCACUUUGAAAAGAGAGUUAAACAGCACGUGAAAUUGUUGAAAGGGAAGCGCUUGCGACCAGACUCGCCCGCGGGGUUCAGCCGGCAUUCGUGCCGGUGUACUUCCCCGUGGGCGGGCCAGCGUCGGUUUGGGCGGCCGGUCAAAGGCCCCUGGAAUGUAGUACCCUCCGGGGUACCUUAUAGCCAGGGGUGCAAUGCGGCCAGCCUGGACCGAGGAACGCGCUUCGGCACGGACGCUGGCAUAAUGGUCGUAAACGACCCGUCUUGAAACACGGACCAAGGAGUCUAACAUCUACGCGAGUGUUCGGGUGUCAAACCCGUGCGCGCAGUGAAAGCGAACGGAGGUGGGAGCCCCCUCGCGGGGCGCACCAUCGACCGAUCCUGAUGUCUUCGGAUGGAUUUGAGUAAGAGCGUAAAUGUGGGGACCCGAAAGAUGGUGAACUAUGCCUGAAUAGGGCGAAGCCAGAGGAAACUCUGGUGGAGGCUCGCAGCGGUUCUGACGUGCAAAUCGAUCGUCAAAUUUGGGUAUAGGGGCGAAAGACUAAUCGA